This 150-nucleotide unclassified non-coding RNA is filed under the name uncultured fungus. Its description in RNAcentral is "sequence contains ITS1". The record is from RNAcentral. Lineage: Eukaryota; Fungi.
ACAAAAAAACUUCUUUUAAAGUUCUUUUUUUAAAAAAAAGACUUUAAAACAUUUUGUGAACCUUUAUAAACAUUUUAAACAAAAUAAUUCAAAAUUUGGCCUUUAAAACAAAAACAUUUUUGUUUUUAAAAUUUAAAUUUAUUUAAAAAA